Pygocentrus nattereri (red-bellied piranha) is the source of this 1387-nucleotide long non-coding RNA. The record is from Ensembl. Lineage: Eukaryota; Metazoa; Chordata; Actinopteri; Characiformes; Serrasalmidae.
UUCCUCUGCAGGCCAUCAAGCCUCUGCAACUCAUCCAGAAUGCAGCAGCAUGGCUCAUCUUCCCUAAGUUCAGCCCCACUGCCCCACUGCUGCGCUCCCUUCACUGGCUUCCUGUAGCAUCACACAUUAGAUUUAGAACCCUAAUGCUUGCUUACAAAGCCAGCCCCUCCCUACUUGAUGGCAGUGGUCAAAACUCAAACUGUACCACGAUCCCUUCAAGCUUCGAGUACAGCUCGGCUUGACCCGCCAUCCUUCAAGACAACGUGGAAGACAAGCAUCAAGACUUUUCUCUGUACUGGAACCCAGGUGGUGUCAUUCCUUUUUCUCAACAGGGACAUUUUGUUUCUAGUAUUGUCUGAGCUCAGGUCUGCUAAAUGCUGUAAAUGUGAAUGUAAAGAAGUAAAGUAGAGAGAUGAGAUGAAGUUCUUAACUUGCAAAAAAAAAAAGAUUGUGAUGUUUAAAGUGCUCUUAAUUAAGCAAUAAUGAAGAUAAAUGAAGUACUCUUAAGAAGUAAAGGACAGCCAGUUAAUUACCAGCUAUUUGGUUGAAGAGGCCUAAUAAGGGCAUUACAUGCACAAUAAAAUGUCCAACUGAAAUAAAGUAUUCUGCAGACUUCAUGAGACCCUAUGGCUUUUCAUUUUUGUGUACUAUGUACAUUAAGAACACACAAUCCUACAGUUAUUUUAUUUAAAUGUGCAACAAACAUUAACAUACAUGAGCAUGCAUACUUUAAUCCUGUCCCAAACAUAAAAAAAAUGUUUUUCUUGAAUAUUCAAAUGUUGUGAAGAGACAUAUAAACUACAAACCAGCUGCUUUAAUAUUUACACUGCUUUUGUACAGGAAUGCAGUUCAGACUUUCCUCACAUGGGGGUACUAUACACAUUCAAACUUGAGAGAAAACCCUGUUUUACAUGUUUUACAUCAACUGGCAGUGAAGUGUAAACUCAGUCUGAAGAAGGAGCUUCUCAAGAUAAUCACCAUGAUCAGAGUGGGCAGCAUUAUUUGGACUGCAGUGCUAUGUCUGACUGGAUUUUCUCACAGUACUCAUGUCAUCCAGACUCCCUCUAAUCUGAUUAUGAAUCAAAAGGAAUCUGCUACAAUCAAGUGUUGGCACAAUGUAACGAGUUAUAAUCAAAUCAACUGGUACAAACAAACUCAAGAACAAGAGUUGAUUUUUAUUGGAUAUUACUUAGGAAAGUCAACACCCAACAAGGAAAAAGAGUUUGAGACUAAAGUGAACAUGACUGGAGAUGGAAACAGUGAUGUCUCUUUGACUAUCACAGGUCUUUCACUCACAGACACUGCAGUGUAUUUCUGUGCUGCAUAUUACACAGUGCUGCAGAGCUGCUCUAUUCAGUGCAAAAACGUCUUGGAAAUAUUGCCAAAG